This 262-nucleotide ribosomal RNA is filed under the name uncultured bacterium. Its description in RNAcentral is "partial 16S ribosomal RNA". It matches the Rfam family "Bacterial small subunit ribosomal RNA", at positions 524 to 785 of the family's 1533-position model. The record is from RNAcentral.
UACGUAGGGUGCAAGCGUUAAUCGGAAUUACUGGCGUAAAGCGUGCGCAGGCGGCUUUGCAAGACAGAUGUGAAAUCCCCGGGCUUAACCUGGGAACUGCAUUUGUGACUGCAUGGCUGGAGUGCGGCAGAGGGGGAUGGAAUUCCGCGUGUAGCAGUGAAAUGCGUAGAUAUGCGGAGGAACACCGAUGGCGAAGGCAAUCCCCUGGGCCUGCACUGACGCUCAUGCACGAAAGCGUGGGGAGCGAAACAAGGAUUGAGAA